RNAcentral lists this unclassified non-coding RNA (353 nucleotides) under soil metagenome. Its description in RNAcentral is "partial contains 5.8S ribosomal RNA, internal transcribed spacer 2, and large subunit ribosomal RNA". The stretch from base 1 to 120 matches the Rfam family "5.8S ribosomal RNA", at positions 35 to 154 of the family's 154-position model. The record is from RNAcentral.
GAUGAAGAACGUAGCGAAAUGCGAUAAGUAAUGUGAAUUGCAGAAUUCAGUGAAUCAACGAAUCUUUGAACGCACAUUGCGCCCGCCAGUAUUCUGGCGGGCAUGCCUGUUCGAGCGUCAUUAUAACCCUCAGGCCCCCGGGCCUGGCGUUGGGGAUCGGCGGAAGCCCCCUGCGGGCACAACGCCGUCCCCCAAAUACAGUGGCGGUCCCGCCGCAGCUUCCAUUGCGUAGUAGCUAACACCUCGCAACUGGAGAGCGGCGCGGCCACGCCGUAAAACGCCCAACUUCUGAAUGUUGACCUCGAAUCAGGUAGGAAUACCCGCUGAACUUAAGCAUAUCAAUAAGCGGAGGA